This is a long non-coding RNA of Hydra vulgaris (swiftwater hydra), 680 nucleotides long. RefSeq lists it as uncharacterized. The record is from RefSeq and is a predicted model, not a curated record. Lineage: Eukaryota; Metazoa; Cnidaria; Hydrozoa; Anthoathecata; Hydridae.
UAAAGAUUUAUAUAUACAUAAUUUACAUAUACAUUAGGUUUGAAGCAGAGGCAGUUGUUCUAUCUUGUUUGAAAAAAGAUAGAUGGUUAUUUUGGUCAAGUUGUGUUCAUGCAAUGAAAGCUACCUAUAAUAAUUUUUCAAUCAUUGACUCAUUAAAUUUUAAAGUAAUUAUUGCUAUUUUAAUUGUUUUAUAUGAAUAAAAAAACUAUUAUAGCUUUAUUUUAACGGUGACGUAUUAUAUCAAAUAAACUAUUUAGUUUUUAUUUCCGAAAAAGUAAUAUUUUGAAUCUGGUUAUGGUAUUAUUACAGCCUAGAUAUAUAUUGUAAUCUGUUUACACUUAUUCUACUUUUUGUUUUUACAUAAUUUUAUUUAUAUUUAAUUUACUAAAUAAUUACUAACAGAUAAAGCAGUAUGUGCAGGAUUUAAGUUCACAACUAAAGAGAACUUGAAAGAAGAAUUAAAAAUCUGGUGGAUCAAAGAUCGAGGAAUGAUUUGGUUUUAACUGGUUUGCAUCUUAUGAACGAAGUACAUAAUAUAAUUUAAAUUAAUGAUUUAUAGUUACACCUAUUGAAAUUCUGUAUCUCAAUGAUAUCCUGGCUUAUUGAUACGAUAUUCUGUAAAUCCACUCACACACAUAAAUUUUACUCACACACGUAAAUCCUGUAAAUUCACUCACACA